GCCGGGCGCGGUGGCUCACGCCUGUAAUCCUAGCACUCUGGGAGGCCGAGGCGGGCGGAUCGUUUGAGCUCAGGAGUUCGAGACCAGCCUGAGCAAGAGCGAGACCCCGUCUCUACUAAAAAUAGAAAGAAAUUAUCUGGCCAACUAAAAUAUAUAUAGAAAAAAUUAGCCGGGCAUGGUGGCACAUGCCUGUAGUCCCAGCUACUCGGGAGGCUGAGACAGCAGGAUCGCUUGAGCUCAGGAGUUCGAGACCAGCCUGAGCAAGAGCGAGACCCCGUCUCU
This 282-nucleotide small RNA is filed under the name Prolemur simus (greater bamboo lemur). RNAcentral's name for it is "Metazoan signal recognition particle RNA (ENSPSMG00000006629.1)". The stretch from base 1 to 115 matches the Rfam family "Metazoan signal recognition particle RNA". The record is from RNAcentral. Lineage: Eukaryota; Metazoa; Chordata; Mammalia; Primates; Lemuridae.